GUAUGUGUGUCAACGCUUAUCUUAAACAGAUAAAGGUGGUAAUAUGCACCAUUUGUUUAUAAACAUUCAACAUGAGAGGAUUUAUACUGUGUGCUGUGCUUGGCAUCGUCUUGGCGGAGUUUCAAAAUAGCAAGUAUGAAAGGCGCCUGGAUGGAUACCGAUUUCAGUACCAUGAUGAUACGGGACAUUAUUUGGCGAUAAAGGGGAUGGAUUGUUAUGUAGCUGAUGUUCCUGUUGACAGUGAACUACAGACGAAGCUUCAAGAUAAUGAUCAUUUAGAUGAUUUAGAAAGAAAGGUCAUUAAUGUGAUAAAAUCAGGAACUGGUUUGAAUCGUGUUGACCUGCAAACCAUUGUGGAUAGAUAUCAAGAUACACUGACCCGAGCUUUGUGUUUUCGAUCUACUAUGUACAUCAUGGAUUUAUCUGGAAAGAUUUAACAAAAUUUAUUUUGACAUUCAUAAAUACAAAAUGAACCUUGAAUAAAAGAAAUAUCUCAGUU
This is a long non-coding RNA of Patella vulgata (common limpet), 499 nucleotides long. RefSeq lists it as uncharacterized. Lineage: Eukaryota; Metazoa; Mollusca; Gastropoda; Patellidae. The transcript is spliced from 4 exons. The record is from RefSeq and is a predicted model, not a curated record.